Molecule: long non-coding RNA, 4468 nt
Filed under: Sorghum bicolor (sorghum)
Lineage: Eukaryota; Viridiplantae; Streptophyta; Magnoliopsida; Poales; Poaceae
Description: long non-coding RNA (SBIC_LNC009816)
Source: RNAcentral
ACAACCGCUAAGAAAGGAAAGCUUCCACAAGGUGAUACUGUACCAUCACUCUUCAAGUAAGGUAACAUCUUAAGGUACUUGACUAUCACUUCUAUAAAGCUUCUCCUUGGUUCUGGCGUUCACAUGAAUAAAAGAGACAAAGAUGUAUGAUUUACAACUCUAGAUUAACCAACCCAAUCGAUUCAAUAUAUUUAGUCCUUCCACCUUUGUGAUCCCACACUCCUAAUCAUAUGUGCUAAAGUGUUGCAUACUCAGUAUUUGGAAGAUAUAUAUAAAAAAAGAGAAAACACAUAAGUAUAGAUAGGUUAUCUUUCCAUUAGGUUGAGCAAUUUGAUCUGACAAAUGUUUUAAAUGCUACACUCAUGAUCUUAUUAUCCAUUAACUUCAUCUUGCUCACUAUGCUUAAGGUUAGAGAAAAAAAAGAAUAAAUACAUUUUUGGUUCUGUUGGUGUUCUCCACCAACAGGGCCCAUGCACUUGAUCUCUGCCUUGUCUCUGUGAGCAGGUACACUUCGAGCAAAAUAUGAAGGACUUUUACAACUCCCAGACUCCACCAAGUGAAGAAUCUAGAUCUACGAGCACAAACACACUGGAGAGACUGGACACUAAGGCAAUCAAUGCCCUGAACUAGAGUAACCCUGUUGUGGAAGUAAUUACUGACCUUCUGCCGGUCAAGAGAUACAAUCCAGGACGUCCCGUCAUCCCGAUCUCCAUCAGCAUGGUGGACUUCCUAGAAGCACUCUGCAACUUUGGCUCCAGCGUCAACAUUAUGCUCAGGGUACUCUAUGAAAAAUUCUUUACAUAUCCUUUCCUAGAAACAACCAUGUGUUUGCAGCUUGCAGAUCAGACACUAUGUUUCCCAAAGGGAAUAUUGAAGAACCUCUAUGUCCGAGUUGGUACCUUAUACGCUCCAGCAGACUUCGUGGUGAUAGAGACUGAUACUGAUGAGAGGGCACCCAUCAUCCUAGGGAUGCCAUUCCUAAACACCUCGGGAGCUGUCAUCUACGCUAGUGCUGCCAAGAUCAGUUUUUACAUCAAGGGGAAGAAGGAGACGUUUUCCUUCAAGAAACAAGACUACACAAAUCCCAGAGCAAUCCCGACAUGAACCAAGGAAGAGGACCAACAGGAGGAACAGGAACAAGCAAAUGUGGACCAAGUCAGCAAAGAUUGUCACUGCAGUUCAAGGAGGUCAAGAUCGUCGACUUAAGUCACCGUUCCUAACCAAAAAGGACGACCCAAGUAUGCCAAGCAUCCAGUGCUCCAUUGAUGGAUACAACUUCUAGAAGAUGCUUUGCGACAUCGGGUCAGGCGUCAACAUAAUGGCCGCCAGUCACUUAUCAGCUCCUAUUCGGAACCAUGCCCCUAAAACCGACAUACAUUCAGCUUCAGAUGGCAGAUCAGACAUUCUGAAAGAUUGAAGGUUAUUGACAUGGGAGAAGACGAGUACGAUCCACCCAUCAUCCUUGGAAGACCGUUCUUUAGCACCAUUAAAGCAAUCAUAUACAUUGGAACCAGAGAAGUCCACAUGCACUUCCCCUCAGAGAAGGUACGCCACUGUUUUACUGACCCACUAUAUAGUUGAAGACUCUAAGAAGGUCAGGACAAGAAGACGACAACGCAACCGCAACCAGAGGAGGCAAAUCAUCUAGGACGGAUGGGUGACUAUGAAGGAGAAGUUGUAAGGUCUGAAGACAUACAACUUGAACAGAACUGUCCUGAGGAGACUGUAGCACCGAGUCAGGUGUGGAAAGAGAAGAUAGUUAUACACGAAGAGGAAGCACCGUCGGAACCACCGACUACGCCAUCCAGCGAAUCCCAUAAUGACUCAGGAAACGGAGAGUCCCGUUCGGAGGACUUAAAAACACCGAACGCCUUGCCAAGAGGUAAACUUGGUAGUUAUCUUUUUUCUUUUAAUUAUUUAAAAUAGUUUGCUUAGUUAUUCAGGUUCACAUCAUCUUGAAAAGAAAAUAAAAAUGUUGAAGAUAGUAAGCCCCAUGUGAAUAUGCUCAUGGCAUAAAACCCAUAAGUACAUUCACUGUGGUGGCAUAAAAAUGAAAUAAAUAUAUUCCUGUCCUAUAAAAAUAAAAUUAUAAAAAUAAAAUUAUGAUCCUACUAAUGAGUAACAUUUAUUGAGGAGGCUCAACAUGAUAAAGGCUAGAUAUUUAUGCUAACACUUAACCAGUUCCACAAAGCUUUGUUGUCUAUUUGAGCUCCACAGAAUUCAAGGAUCAAAGAAGACUAGCAGACGGAGGAUAUCCUAAUCGCUGUCAGGGUGCUGCCGACAUUCAAAUACACCUCCGCCACCUGCUAGCUACAUCAGAAGAAACUACGUCAAAAUCCAGCUUGGGGGAGAGCAUCCCAAUUAUCCAGCUAAGUAUUCUACUCACGUUUAUACUUUACUCUAAUAAUAAAAAGAUGCAUAAUCAUAGAAACCCAAAUAAAGAUUUUGUGCUUAUAUAUAUCUUUGCUUAGUUUGCUAAAUAAAUAAAUAAAUAAAGUUUGCUAUGAACCCUCAUGAUAAGCUCUCACAUGGAAAUGAUGAAUAGUUGCUCUGCCAUGAUUAGUUCUAAAGAUUGAAAUCUCUCUCAAGUUUAGGCAUGACUGGUAUUAAUUAAGAUUUGCUCUAAACCUAAACUUGUGGGGAGAGUACUUGAUCUAAAGUCUAAGUCGUUAACGGAUACGAUAUGGGAAGGUUGAGCUGCUGUUUAUCUGUUCCUAGAGAUGCUAGAAUUCUGGAGAAUUUUAUCUUUGAAAAUCUUUAAAAUAUCACAUGAUGAGUUCCUGUAUGAUGAGAGUUUAAAUUCCUACCACAGCCAUAUAUACAUGCUUGCUAGACUUUGAGCCACACAUUUACUUUUUACUGCUUAUGAGCAUUGAGUGUGGUCAAGCUGUGUAGACCCUUAGGAGUCAAGAUUCACUUGCACGUUCACUCACACAUGCUACUUCUACUCCAGAAGUACCAUCCACAUAUAUCCAUCCAUUUCCAUCUCCAGAACCACCCAAAAAUAUUCUACUCCUAAUCCGGGAGAGAAUAGCCAAAAACAUUCUCCUAUUUCUGUUUUUCCCUGUGAAAUAAAUGCUCAAGUUAUCUUGGUUACUACCACUUGCUAUAUUAUUUCAGGAGAUGAGUGCUCUAAAAAAAAGAGAAAAAAAGAGAAAGAAUACGAGGAAAUAAAAAGGGGCAAGUGCCCGGAACCUCGAAGAAAAAAAAAAUGAGACGAGAGGUAAAAAUGGACAAGUGUCCGACAGUAGAAUUAGGGGUACAAGAUACCCACCUGAGAGAAAAGAAAAAAAAAAGAAAAUAUAGAGCAUCUCAUUCUCCUCAAAAAUUUCAAAAGAGCAAGAAAGGUAUGUAUCCCCUCAAAAGAGCACAAGUAGAAUUAGGCUUUCACCAUUGUUAUCACCAUACACCAUUCAUUCGCCACACAUGCACAUCUUGAUUUGACUUAUUGACUUGUUCUUCUGGAUCCAUGGUUUGACUAUGCAAUAAAUGUCUUGUAAGUAUGUAUUAGCUGUCUCCCACCUAUGAGCUCCAGAUAUUAAAAGCUUUAUUAGAGUAGGGUGAGAGAGAAGGCAAUGUCACUAUGCCUCAUACCACAAAUACCACAUACUUUGAGAGAAGGCAUACACCAUUAAUGCCUUGGUAAGGAUCCAGAAAUACCACAAAAGAGAGACUAGAGAGAGUCAUACAAGGAAUCUCUGAGUUUUAUUUGAAAAUCUGCAAAAACUCCAGAGCUAUAGCUGAUCAAAAAUAAGAGACAUGGUGCUUGACUAGACCGUUCUAUCUUUUAACUACUCAAGACAGAAGUGACGGUUACAAGUCCCAUGGUGAAAGGUAAAUGAGUAAGUUUUAAGUCUUAACAGUUUACUCUAACCAGAGAUGAGAUCUUGUUUAAACGCAUGUGUAUCUUUAAGUUAUGAAACCACUGUAGAACUCUUGAGUCCAUCUUUGCUCAGGGACGAGCAAAGGUUAAGCUUGGGGGAGCUUGUUGACGGUUCUUAAUGCUCACAAUUAACCAUCAACUAAUCAUAGAAAAGGAUCCAAAUGUAACCAACACCUAGACUUAGGGUUUUAUCUGACAGAAUUCCACGAGUUUUGGUGUUUGUCUAUUUCUGCAGGGGGUUAUCAGGAAAUAAGGAAGAAAGGCCCACACGUCGGGUUUACAUAGAGAUAUUAACGUGCCGUGCAAUUUUCUACCAUCUAGAAGACUCCAGAAGCCACGGGACCGAACGGGAGACGUAACGGAGCCGGGCACUGGGCGCCCGCCCUCCCCCCUGGACCAAUCAGGGUGAAGUUCGGGGAUCAUGCUCCACCGACCUAAUACUUCAAGGAAAACCACACGAUCAAUGUCGGUUUGAUCCGACGGCCCAGAUUCACUUGAAGGGACUAUAAAACCAGACCCCCCUGGCCCCUGGAGAUCAUACCUCUUCUACAGAAUCAAAGCUAGGGUUUCAAUUCUUCAUCCAAG